Solanum pennellii is the source of this 69-nucleotide small nucleolar RNA. RefSeq annotates it as small nucleolar RNA snoR64a. The transcript has a single exon. NCBI's taxonomy places the organism in Eukaryota, Viridiplantae, Streptophyta, Magnoliopsida, Solanales, Solanaceae. The record is from RefSeq and is a predicted model, not a curated record.
GUGUUUUUCGGAGAUGAAUACUCAUUGUUUGAGUAUUAUGAUUCUCAUCUGAAUAGGAAGAUCUGAUGC